This 439-nucleotide ribosomal RNA is filed under the name uncultured bacterium. Its description in RNAcentral is "partial 16S ribosomal RNA". It matches the Rfam family "Bacterial small subunit ribosomal RNA", at positions 339 to 795 of the family's 1533-position model. The record is from RNAcentral.
CUACGGGGUGCUGCAGUGGGGAAUAUUGCACGAUGGGGGAAACCCUGAUGCAGCAACGCCGCGUGAGUGAUGACGGUCUUCGGAUUGUAAAGCUCUGUCUUCAGGGACGAUAAUGACGGUACCUGAGGAGGAAGCCACGGCUAACUACGUGCCAGCAGCCGCGGUAAUACGUAGGUGGCAAGCGUUGUCCGGAUUUACUGGGCGUAAAGGGAGCGUAGGCGGACUUUUAAGUGGGAUGUGAAAUACCCGGGCUUAACCUGGGUGCUGCAUUCCAAACUGGAAGUCUAGAGUACAGGAGGGGAAAGCGGAAUUCCUAGUGUAGCGGUGAAAUGCGUAGAGAUUAGGAAGAACACCAGUGGCGAAGGCGGCUUUCUGGACUGUAACUGACGCUGAGGCUCGAAAGCGUGGGGAGCGAACAGGAUUAGAUACCCCUGUAGUC